Molecule: regulatory RNA element, 331 nt
Rfam family: Alphacoronavirus 5'UTR
About the family: The 5' UTR has been predicted to contain 3 conserved stem-loops: SL1, SL2 and SL4. The 3 terminal loops of SL5 contain a conserved sequence 5'-UUCCGU-3' and are thought to act as the packaging signal.
Source: Rfam
ACUUUUAAAGUAAAGUGAGUGUAGCGUGGCUAUAACUCUUCUUUUACUUUAACUAGCCUUGUGCUAGAUUUGUCUUCGGACACCAACUCGAACUAAACGAAAUAUUUGUCUCUCUAUGAAACCAUAGAAGACAAGCGUUGAUUAUUUCACCAGUUUGGCAAUCACUCCUAGGAACGGGGUUGAGAGAACGGCGCACCAGGGUUCCGUCCCUGUUUGGUAAGUCGUCUAGUAUUAGCUGCGGCGGUUCCGCCCGUCGUAGUUGGGUAGACCGGGUUCCGUCCUGUGAUCUCCCUCGCCGGCCGCCAGGAGAAUGAGUUCCAAACAAUUUAAG